Elaeis guineensis (African oil palm) is the source of this 879-nucleotide non-coding RNA. The record is from RefSeq and is a predicted model, not a curated record. Lineage: Eukaryota; Viridiplantae; Streptophyta; Magnoliopsida; Arecales; Arecaceae.
AGUCCUCUUCUUCACAGAACAGGGGAGGUCCUUCCUCCCUCUUGUUCCCGAACUAAGGGCCUCCCCCCCAACCGACCACCACUCCGAUCGGUGGAGCAGUCCCCGACGACAUCGAGAGAUCAAGUCUGGUGACCGACGACGGCAAACAAUGACGAAAAAAACCAAAAUAACAUGGAGAAAACAAGGGAUCUUCUUUGGAAUUUAUUUCCAACAAAGCUAAUGGCCGGCGGCGAGGUCUGGGGUUAUGAGAAGAUGAGCAAGAGAGAGAGAAGGAAGGAUUGGGACCUUACCUUGGUUUCGAUGGCAUCUCUGGUCUUGAUUUUCGGUGGGCACGGUGAAGGCAAUCAACGACUCCAACGAAGGAAAAGAGGGAGAAAGAAGAGAAAGGAAGCCUGAUGUUUUCAUGGCUUACUUAAGAUAGAGAAGAGGAAAUUUAUAGAUGGGAUCUAGGGCUCCUAGAGUCCCAAUCCCAUUCUAAUUCAAAGAGGGAAGACAGACUCUAUCACGAGUCCUCUUUCGUUCUCUUUUUUCUUCUUCUUCUUAUUAUUAUUAUUAUUUAAAUCUGGGUUAUUACAUGGUUAGUUUUUUUUUCAGGAGAAGCUAAUUGUGCGGGGAGAGAAGUUUUACCGGAAUCAGAAACUUGGAUUCAUAGAAUCCCAAAAUAAUAGCUAUUGGCGGCUUGUCUGCUUUUACUGCUUCCUGCCAUGAGAUCCUUGGGAUCUGCUCGUGGUGCAGUGUCAUUUGUCUAUGCCAUCCUACAGAGUUGUUGCAUUUAAUUUUGUUGGCUUGCUUGUUUCAUGAUAAAUCAAGUUCAUCAACAAAAUGUUGCUGCCAACAUAUUUUGCUAGGACCCAUUGAUGCACAUUGUUAUGGUCACCA